UACAGGGGGUGCAAACGUUGUCCGGAAUCACUGGGCGUAAAGCGCGUGUAGGCGGUCCGGUAAGUCCGCUGUGAAAGUCGGGGGCUCAACCCUCGAAUGCCGGUGGAAACUGUCGGGCUAGAGUACGGAAGAGGCGAGUGGAAUUCCUGGUGUAGCGGUGAAAUGCGCAGAUAUCAGGAGGAACACCGAUUGCGAAGGCAGCACGCUGGAACGUUACUGACGCUGAGACGCGAAAGCGUGGGGAGCAAACAGG
RNAcentral lists this ribosomal RNA (253 nucleotides) under uncultured bacterium. Its description in RNAcentral is "partial 16S ribosomal RNA". It matches the Rfam family "Bacterial small subunit ribosomal RNA", at positions 524 to 776 of the family's 1533-position model. The record is from RNAcentral.